ACUGCUCAGUAACACGUGGACAACCUGCCCUUAGGACGGGGAUAAACCCGGGAAACUGGGUAUAAUACCCGAUAGGUCUCGAUUGCUGGAAUGCAUCGAGAUUUAAAGCUCCGGCGCCUAAGGAUGGGUCUGCGGCCUAUCAGGUAGUAGUGGGUGUAGCGUACCUACUAGCCUACGACGGGUACGGGUUGUGAGAGCAAGAGCCCGGAGAUGGAUUCUGAGACACGAAUCCAGGCCCUACGGGGUGCAGCAGGCGCGAGARCUUUACAAUGCUGGCAACAGCGAUAAGGGAACCUCGAGUGCCAGGUUACAAAUCUGGCUGUCGAGAUGCCUAAGAAGCAUUUCAUAGCAAGGGCCGGGCAAGACCGGUGCCAGCCGCCGCGGUAACACCGGCGGCUCGAGUGGUAACCGUUAUUAUUGGGUCUAAAGGGUCUGUAGCCGGCCGGAUAAGUCUCUUGAGARAUCUGGCAGCUUAACUGUCAGGCUUUCAGGAGAUACUGUCUGGCUCGAGGCCGGGAGAGGUGAGAGGUACUUCAGGGGUAGGGGUGAGAUCUUGUGAUCCUUGAAGGGCCACCAGUGGCGAAGGCGUCUCACCAGAACGGRCCUGACGGCAAGGGACGARAGCUAGGGGCACGAACCGGAUUAGAUACCCGGGUAGUCCUAGCCGUAAACGAUACUCGCUAGGUGUCGGCCACGGUGCGACCGUUGUCGGUGCCGUAGGGAAGCCGUGAAGCGAGCCACCUGGGAAGUACGGCCGCAAGGUGAARACUUAAAGGAAUUGGCGGGGGAGCACCACAACGGGUGGAGCUUGCGGUUUAAUUGGACUG
This 827-nucleotide ribosomal RNA is filed under the name uncultured archaeon. RNAcentral describes it as "bacterial SSU rRNA". It matches the Rfam family "Archaeal small subunit ribosomal RNA", at positions 85 to 913 of the family's 1478-position model. The record is from RNAcentral.